Molecule: long non-coding RNA, 429 nt
Filed under: Trifolium pratense (red clover)
Lineage: Eukaryota; Viridiplantae; Streptophyta; Magnoliopsida; Fabales; Fabaceae
Description: long non-coding RNA (TPRA_LNC014377)
Source: RNAcentral
AUGGAUCUUUGUGGAACAACGAUGGUGGUUCAAACAUGGAUGAAGAAGAGUGUUCAUUUUUUUUUCAUGAGUUUUGAGUUGAGAGAAAUUGUUUUAUUCAUGGGUUUUUGAGUUUACAUGUAAACAACCUAAUGAGAUUUAGAAUGAGUUUUUCAGUGUUAUUUGAAGGAGUAGCAGAAUGAGUUUUGCCAAAACUUAAAUGAAAAAGUGGUAGACUUAUUAGUGGUACACGUUUUGGCUGUCAAAAACGAGAAAAAAAGAAGUGGUACACAUUCUGGCGGAAACAUUCCGCCACAAACUCUUUCCAUUCUUUUUUAAUUAUAUUUUAUACUUUUUGACGGAUAAAUCCGCCAAUAUAUAUGUCACAAUUGUUUUAUUUAUUUAUUUAUUUAUUUCCUGGUAAAGUUAUUGGCGGUUUUAUAUUACUUU